Molecule: ribosomal RNA, 1306 nt
Filed under: uncultured bacterium
Lineage: Bacteria
Description: bacterial SSU rRNA
Rfam family: Bacterial small subunit ribosomal RNA
Source: RNAcentral
AACGUACGCUGGCGGCACGCCUAACACAUGCAAGUCGAACGAAGUAGCAAUACUUAGUGGCAGACGGGUGAGUAACAUGUGGGUAUCUGCCCUUUGGCCUGGAAUAACACGAGGAAACUUGUGCUAAUACCGGAUAAGUCUUUACGGAGAAAGCUUUAUGCACCAUUGGAUGAGCCCGCACUUGAUUAGUUUGUUGGUGGGGUAAUGGCCUACCAAGACUGUGAUCAAUAGCUGAUUUGAGAGGAUGAUCAGCCACAUUGGGACUGAGACACGGCCCAAACUCCUACGGGAGGCAGCAGUGGGGAAUCUUGCACAAUGGAGGAAACUCUGAUGCAGCGAUGCCGCGUGAGUGAAGAAGGCCCUUGGGUUGUAAAGCUCUUUCGUCGGGGAAGAAAAUGACUGUACCCGAAUAAGAAGGUCCGGCUAACUUCGUGCCAGCAGCCGCGGUAAUACGAAGGGACCUAGCGUAGUUCGGAAUUACUGGGCUUAAAGAGUUCGUAGGUGGUUGAAAAAGUUAGUGGUGAAAUCCCAGAGCUUAACUCUGGAACUGCCAUUAAAACUUUUCAGCUAGAGUAUGAUAGAGGAAAGCAGAAUUUCUAGUGUAGAGGUGAAAUUCGUAGAUAUUAGAAAGAAUACCAAUUGCGAAGGCAGCUUUCUGGAUCAUUACUGACACUGAGGAACGAAAGCAUGGGUAGCGAAGAGGAUUAGAUACCCUCGUAGUCCAUGCCGUAAACGAUGUGUGUUAGACGUUGGAAAUUUAUUUUCAGUGUCGCAGCGAAAGCGAUAAACACACCGCCUGGGGAGUACGACCGCAAGGUUAAAACUCAAAUGAAUUGACGGGGACCCGCACAAGUAGUGGAGCAUGUGGUUUAAUUCGAAGAUACGCGCAGAACCUUACCAACACUUGACAUGUUCGUCGCGACUCUAAGAGAUUAGAGUUUUCGGUUCGGCCGGACGAAACACAGGUGCUGCAUGGCUGUCGUCAGCUCGUGUCGUGAGAUGUUGGGUUAAGUCCCGCAACGAGCGCAACCCUCACUUUUAGUUGCCAUCAUUAAGUUGGGCACUCUGAAAGAACUGCCAGUGAUAAGCCGGAGGAAGGUGGGGAUGACGUCAAGUCCUCAUGGCCCUUACGUGUUGGGCUACACACGUGCUACAAUGGUAUCUACAACAGGAAGCAAGACUGCGAGGUCAAGCAAAUCCUUAAAAGAUACCUCAGUUCGGAUUGCACUCUGCAACUCGAGUGCAUGAAGCUGGAAUUACUAGUAAUCGUGGAUCAGCGUGCCACGGUGAAUGCGUUCCCGGGUCU